Molecule: ribosomal RNA, 117 nt
Filed under: Terriglobia bacterium
Lineage: Bacteria; Pseudomonadati; Acidobacteriota; Terriglobia
Source: RNAcentral
UCCGGUGAUCUUACCGCGGGGGCACCACCCGUUCCCAUCCCGAACACGGAAGUUAAGCCCCGCAGGGCCGAUUGUACUGCAUGCGAAAGUGUGUGGGAGAGUAGGUCGUUGCCGGAU